GAAGCAGUUUGAAUUUGGGAUUCAGGGGCUGGGUGGUGGGAAUUCAGGGUAUCCGAAGCUGGGAUCCAAGCACCCUAAACCCCAAGAAGGACUCAAUUGAGGGGCCCUGGCUGUGCAUACAAGUUCUGCUGUAAUCUGCAUUCCUGUUGUCCAAUAAACCUUCUGUUUUAC
Chelonoidis abingdonii (Abingdon island giant tortoise) is the source of this 171-nucleotide non-coding RNA. NCBI's taxonomy places the organism in Eukaryota, Metazoa, Chordata, Testudines, Testudinidae. The record is from RefSeq and is a predicted model, not a curated record.